GGCAGGUUACCCAAGCGGCCAAAGGGAGCUGACUGUAAAUCAGUUGCGCGAGCUACGGGGGUUCGAAUCCCUCACCUGCCACCA
This 84-nucleotide transfer RNA is filed under the name Actinotalea lenta. Its description in RNAcentral is "tRNA-Tyr". It matches the Rfam family "tRNA". From Rfam's summary of the family: Transfer RNA (tRNA) molecules are approximately 80 nucleotides in length. Their secondary structure includes four short double-helical elements and three loops (D, anti-codon, and T loops). Lineage: Bacteria; Bacillati; Actinomycetota; Actinomycetes; Micrococcales; Cellulomonadaceae. The record is from RNAcentral.